GGAGGCAGCUGGUAGAGCAUCGGAUUGUGGUUCCGAGUGUCGUGGGUUCGAGCCCCAUCAUCCA
RNAcentral lists this transfer RNA (64 nucleotides) under Bacteroidales bacterium. Its description in RNAcentral is "tRNA-His". The record is from RNAcentral. Lineage: Bacteria; Pseudomonadati; Bacteroidota; Bacteroidia; Bacteroidales.